UGAUGAUCGAUUAAUAAACACACAGACGGAAAGCAGCAAUGCACCAGACAAACGCCUGGCCAGAAGGGCCUGGUCUGUCUGGGAAUAUCUCAAAAAGGCCCUGCUGUGUCACACCAGCCACCGCAGACGCAAGCUGGGCAAAAUAGCUGGAGAAGUUUAGUUGGCCUCAGCCUUCUACAAUGAGGUCAGCCUCUGUUAGUAAGGAUGAUAAACGUCAGUCAAGAAAGCCAGACUCGAUUUGUGGUGUUUAUUGGCCAAUGAGACUAUCUGGGAAAGCUGAAUGGACCACUCAGUUCAGGGUCAUUCAGCUCAGCCAGGUCCUGAGCAGAGCCAAUAAUGGCCACUGCACAGAUCUGUGAUGAAUAUGUGGAGAACAAGAGAAAAGCAUCCAGUGCUGGGGCUGGCGGUUGCCAUAGCAACCACAUGAUACAACAAGAGAAGGAAGGGAGAGGAGUCAGCCAUUUUGGCUCAACAGUUGGUCCUUCCAUCCCCCAACAUCUGCAGCACCACAAAGAUCACCUGCAAUGGAUGAGGACCAGGAGCAAAGCUUCUUUGGGAGAGCUGCAGUCCUGCUGAAUGUUACCACUCAGACCAAGACAGAGAAUUUUUUCUCUCUGUUCACUCCGAGGAAAAAUUCCACACAACGUCCGGUGCAGUAUCCAAGAGGAGGGCAGGGUGAGCAUGUGAUGUGUCAGUAGUUAAAAUAACAGUGGAAACAAUGACCUGACUCUAUUUGGCAAUAAAUCUUGUUGAAUUUGUGCCUCCUUCAUUUCUGUGUUGUUUUGUGUUUGCCUGUCAUUAUAGUCUGUGCCUGCUUUCAAAGCCAAUUUUUUGUGUAUUUUUCCAUGUGAUUACGAAGGCUUCCAUAGUAACAGCCCAAAGAUGAGUCACUGUGAGUGUGUCCCCUCAGUGCUGGUUAGGCCGUCACUGCAGGAGCAGAGGGGUAGGAGAGCAGGAGGAGGAGUUGCACAUGUGUUGUGCAAUAUGGGAAUCUUUGGUUGUGUAGGAGCCUGAAGGUUGCUGCAUGUGAUCAAUGUGUAUGAGUGGAAACAUGCAUCCCUGUGAUGUUGUUGAAUUCAACACAUCAACUGUACUGUUUAUCUGAAGAACUGCAGGUAGCUAUAUUCACUGUCUGAAUAUCAUCUGUGUCUUCCUCUGGAUGAUUUGCUUGGACACAGCCACAACAUGGAAACAUCAAUGUGGGCAGAGAGGAGUUUAUCAAUAAGUAAAUCUGGCUAGUUGCCCUGCAAACAAGCAGGAACCUAGAUAAACAACCACUGCCCACGCACACUGACUGAUCUGAUAAACAGAUAGAAAUUAGUUUAGAAAAGAGAAGAUGAAUUGAUAGGGAGGAAAACGGCGAUG
This is a long non-coding RNA of Seriola aureovittata, 1365 nucleotides long. RefSeq lists it as uncharacterized. The transcript has 7 exons. The record is from RefSeq and is a predicted model, not a curated record. Lineage: Eukaryota; Metazoa; Chordata; Actinopteri; Carangiformes; Carangidae.